GAUGAACGCUGGCGGCGUGCCUAAUACAUGCAAGUCGAGCGAACAGAUGAGGAGCUUGCUCCUCUGACGUUAGCGGCGGACGGGUGAGUAACACGUGGAUAACCUACCUAUAAGACUGGGAUAACUUCGGGAAACCGGAGCUAAUACCGGAUAAUAUAUUGAACCGCAUGGUUCAAUAGUGAAAGACGGUUUUGCUGUCACUUAUAGAUGGAUCCGCGCCGCAUUAGCUAGUUGGUAAGGUAACGGCUUACCAAGGCAACGAUGCGUAGCCGACCUGAGAGGGUGAUCGGCCACACUGGAACUGAGACACGGUCCAGACUCCUACGGGAGGCAGCAGUAGGGAAUCUUCCGCAAUGGGCGAAAGCCUGACGGAGCAACGCCGCGUGAGUGAUGAAGGUCUUCGGAUCGUAAAACUAUGUUAUUAGGGAAGAACAAAUGUGUAAGUAACUAUGCACGUCUUGACGGGACCUAAUCAGAAAGCCACGGCUAACUACGU
This 496-nucleotide ribosomal RNA is filed under the name uncultured bacterium. Its description in RNAcentral is "partial 16S ribosomal RNA". It matches the Rfam family "Bacterial small subunit ribosomal RNA", at positions 28 to 506 of the family's 1533-position model. The record is from RNAcentral.